GUCCACGCCCUAAACGAUGUCAACUGGUUGUUGGUGUGGUUAAACCCAUUAGUAACGAAGCUAACGCGUGAAGUUGACCGCCUGGGGAGUACGGCCGCAAGGUUAAAACUCAAAGGAAUUGACGGGGGCCCGCACAAGCGGUGGAGCAUGUGGUUUAAUUCGACGCAACGCGAAGAACCUUACCAAGCCUUGACAUGUCCGGACGGGUUCCAGAAAUGGGAUCUUCCCAGCAAUGGGUCGGAACACAGGUGCUGCAUGGCUGUCGU
This 266-nucleotide ribosomal RNA is filed under the name uncultured bacterium. RNAcentral describes it as "partial 16S ribosomal RNA". It matches the Rfam family "Bacterial small subunit ribosomal RNA", at positions 793 to 1055 of the family's 1533-position model. The record is from RNAcentral.